UUCUUAUCUAGUGAUCAGAAUUCCAAGCUAUGUAUCCCUAGAGGGAGAGACAACGGGCAAGCCAUAUCCCCUUUUAUAAUCUGGCCUUGGUUUUCUCUUCUGCUGCUGCCUGCUUGUUAGAAGCAAGUUCCUGGAACUUUCCCUUAUUUGCAGGUGGGAGACUCAGAUUCUGCCUUUUGCUGGGAGCACGUCAAAGAUUGCUGCACAUUUUACACCCCAUAGAAGCCUGUGACAGUCUGGGGACCUUUUAAUUAAUUAUGUCCUGUGUCAAUGGAAAUUCUUUUGAUGCCUGCCAUGGCUGGCGAUGCAUGUGGAUGUGUAGAGGGAUGGUGUGACAUGCACACAAGUGGCUACAUUUUCUAGGACUAACCAGUAUGCCUAUCUGGUCAUCAGGGAAACCUCCAUAUUUUUUUUUUCUGUGACUCAGGAUGACAUACAUCAGCAGAAUUCUCAGACUCAAGUUCCUUGCAGUGGAUCAUUUGCUCCUGCAUCCAUAAGAGGACGGUAGUAUCAGGAGCCCUUGCCUGGAGAGAGGGUCCCGAGAAAGAAGUUCUCAAAGAACCAGGAUGUCUUCAGCUGAUGUACUUUUGGCCUUGACUGUCACAGUAUCACAGGACCAUUGAGGCCUCAACUUGUGACUGGAG
This 644-nucleotide long non-coding RNA is filed under the name Heterocephalus glaber (naked mole-rat). Its description in RNAcentral is "lncRNA (ENSHGLG00100044900.1)". The record is from RNAcentral. Lineage: Eukaryota; Metazoa; Chordata; Mammalia; Rodentia; Bathyergidae.